This 549-nucleotide ribosomal RNA is filed under the name Marinomonas sp. MED121. Its description in RNAcentral is "bacterial LSU rRNA". It matches the Rfam family "Bacterial large subunit ribosomal RNA", at positions 2387 to 2925 of the family's 2925-position model. The record is from RNAcentral. Lineage: Bacteria; Pseudomonadati; Pseudomonadota; Gammaproteobacteria; Oceanospirillales; Oceanospirillaceae.
CGUCGAGCAGGUACGAAAGUAGGUCUUAGUGAUCCGGUGGUUCUGUAUGGAAGGGCCAUCGCUCAACGGAUAAAAGGUACUCCGGGGAUAACAGGCUGAUACCGCCCAAGAGUUCACAUCGACGGCGGUGUUUGGCACCUCGAUGUCGGCUCAUCACAUCCUGGGGCUGAAGCCGGUCCCAAGGGUAUGGCUGUUCGCCAUUUAAAGUGGUACGCGAGCUGGGUUUAGAACGUCGUGAGACAGUUCGGUCCCUAUCUGCCGUGGACGUUUGAGAUUUGAGAGGAGCUGCUCCUAGUACGAGAGGACCGGAGUGGACGAACCUCUGGUGUUCCGGUUGUCACGCCAGUGGCAUUGCCGGGUAGCUACGUUCGGACGGGAUAACCGCUGAAAGCAUCUAAGCGGGAAGCCUCCCUCAAGAUGAGAUCUCACUGGAACUUUAAGUUCCCUAAAGAGCCGUUGAAGACUACGACGUUGAUAGGCAGGGUGUGUAAGUGCUGUGAGGCAUUGAGCUAACCUGUACUAAUUGCUCGUGAGGCUUGACCAUAUAAC